CGAUAGCGUAUAUUAAAGUUGUUGCAGUUAAAAAGCUCGUAGUUGAAUUUUUGCUUGCCGCCGAUGUCGGAACUUCCGUACGUUCGGCGGCGUGCAUCCUUGGGUGGAACCUGUGUGGCAUUAGGUUGUCGUGCAGGGGAUGCUCAUCGUUUACUGUGAAAAAAUUAGAGUGUUCAAAGCAGGCUUACGCCGUUGAAUAUAUUAGCAUGGAAUAAUAAGAUAGGACCUUGGUACUAUUUUGUUGGUUUGCGCACCGAGGUAAUGAUUAACAGGGACAGUUGGGGGUAUUCGUAUUCCAUUGUCAGAGGUGAAAUUCUUGGAUUUCUGGAAGACGAACUACUGCGAAAGCAUUUACCAAGGAUGUUUUCAUUAA
Molecule: ribosomal RNA, 373 nt
Filed under: uncultured eukaryote
Lineage: Eukaryota
Description: partial 18S ribosomal RNA
Rfam family: Eukaryotic small subunit ribosomal RNA
Source: RNAcentral